This is a small nuclear RNA of Anoplopoma fimbria (sablefish), 127 nucleotides long. RefSeq annotates it as U4atac minor spliceosomal RNA. NCBI's taxonomy places the organism in Eukaryota, Metazoa, Chordata, Actinopteri, Perciformes, Anoplopomatidae. The record is from RefSeq and is a predicted model, not a curated record. The transcript has a single exon.
ACCUUCCUUGUCAUGGGGUGAGUGAGCUGCUCAAUGAACGUGUAGUGAGAGCAGCCCUGCCAACGCCAUAACGACACUUUAGCAUCACCUGGACUUCUGUCCAGAUCAUGGUGCAAUUUUUGGAACC